GACGAACGCUGGCGGCGUGCCUAACACAUGCAAGUCGAACGGAAAGGCCCUGCUUUUGUGGGGUGCUCGAGUGGCGAACGGGUGAGUAACACGUGAGUAACCUGCCCUUGACUUUGGGAUAACUUCAGGAAACUGGGGCUAAUACCGGAUAGGAGCUCCUGCUGCAUGGUGGGGGUUGGAAAGUUUCGGCGGUUGGGGAUGGACUCGCGGCUAUCAGCUUGUUGGUGGGGUAGUGGCUUACCAAGGCUUUGACGGGUAGCCGGCCUGAGAGGGUGACCGGCCACAUUGGGACUGAGAUACGGCCCAGACUCCUACGGGAGGCAGCAGUGGGGAAUAUUGCACAAUGGGCGGAAGCCUGAUGCAGCAACGCCGCGUGCGGGAUGACGGCCUUCGGGUUGUAAACCGCUUUCGCCUGUGACGAAGCGUGAGUGACGGUAAUGGGUAAAGAAGCACCGGCUAACUACGUG
This 467-nucleotide ribosomal RNA is filed under the name uncultured bacterium. Its description in RNAcentral is "partial 16S ribosomal RNA". It matches the Rfam family "Bacterial small subunit ribosomal RNA", at positions 28 to 507 of the family's 1533-position model. The record is from RNAcentral.